Unclassified non-coding RNA from Macaca fascicularis (crab-eating macaque), 147 nucleotides. It matches the Rfam family "Metazoan signal recognition particle RNA". Rfam says of the family: The signal recognition particle (SRP) is a universally conserved ribonucleoprotein. It is involved in the co-translational targeting of proteins to membranes. NCBI's taxonomy places the organism in Eukaryota, Metazoa, Chordata, Mammalia, Primates, Cercopithecidae. The record is from Ensembl.
GCCAGGCAUGGUGGCCUAUGCCUGUAGUCCAGCUACUUGAAAGGCUGAGGUGGGAGGAUCAUUUGAGCCCAGGAAAUUGAGGCUGCAGUGAGCCAUGCUCAUGCCACUGCAGUCCAGCCUAGGCUACAGAGUGAGACCUCAUCUCUA